GUGGCAGCAAACUCACUUCCCUGCCUUUGCUGGCAUGAUCGUAGGAGAAAAUGUGAUAGUGUGGACACAGCACUGAAGCAGGAGAACUCAAGAGGUGUGAAAUUUGUCUUCAUCGCAGACCUGCUGCACUGCCUUUGGUGACUCGUAACACCUUUCCGUGGUUCUGUUUCCCUCCUAACUUCCUGCCAGUCUAACCUCCUAGACCAGAAGCUCUCUGGGGCAAAGACCUGCUUUUACUGUGUGAUCUGCAGUGUCUAAUACAAUAGGUCCCAACCUCAGGUAAGACCUUUAGGUACUCCCAUUAUAUGAAUGAGAACAAGAUUGUUUGUGUCAGUAAUUAACAUUCUUGUGGGAUUGUUGGAAAUGCUUUGGAAUAAACGCUGCCUGGAAUCCUUGUCUGGCUUAUGUGUUUUUUAAGCUGCAGAGAAGGCUCAUCCUGUUCACGUGAGUGGGCAUGGAYCAUCUGUCCCUUCUCUUAUUGUGUGCACAAGAAGUCUUUCUGUCCAAAAAGAGUUGCAAUACCUCAGUGAGAAGCUGGACACUGGAAAAGUGUCUGGUUGCUAGUGGGGAGGAAGAAUGGAGACUCAGUUAUCAGUGUGUCUCCAGUAAUGAUUUCAGCUGAGAACAAAAACUAUAUGAUAAACAYCAAAACAGAGAGAGAAAAAUACCGAACUAAGGAUCAGUGAUAAUGUUGUGAAUGUCUUUGGCACAGCGACAUCCCAUGACAGGCUUCCAGAGAUGAAAUCUCACUCUGGUUACAUGGAUAGCAAAACUCCCAUUGACUGCAAUAUCAUCAGGCUUUCCCCUUGGAGUUACCUGGAUUUCUCUGCUUCUGAAUGCCCAGUCUGUUUUCAGUCUUCUCCCUACCCACUGGCUUCCAGACGCUCCCUGCUGAUGAGGUUCGCUCUGUCCCUCCCCAGCAGACCCCGUUUCCCCUUCCAACUCCUGGUUCCCUCUCACCGCCCCGGAGAACCUGGCUCCCUCCAGAUCCUCCGUGCCUGCCAACUUGCUCUUCCCCCAUCCAGUUCUUGCCCCCGCUGCCGGUUCCUCCGCGAGCGUCCUGCUCGGAGCUGCCCGGGCAGCAGCGUGGACGGGACGGACGGGUUCCCCGCGCCCCGCCAUACCUCCCGCCUCGGCGCCGUCCAGGGCUCUGCAGGCCCGGCGGCGGCUCCCACCGCCCCGGGCUGCGACACGCUCCCUGCGGAGAAACCUCCGCGGGAUUACAGCCACCGCUGAGCGCCAGCGGGAUCUCCAGUCGGUUUUUACGUGGCAGUUUUUGCGGGAGCGGUAGCAGUAACGUCUCGGACAAAAAGGCCAUUCUCGUUUUCAGACUUGAAGAUCCUGUUUCAAAGCGAAACAUUUUCCUCUGACCUGACAGAUGAAAUGAUAGAAGAAGUUUUUUAAAUUUAACCGGAGGUAUGAACCAGACACUUAAAUUUCAGCACAACAGUUAGUCUGGCAAUACUAAAAGUGGCUGAAGACAGGAUUUAAUGAUGGGAAUUGCUAACCAACUUUAACAUUAAUUAGCAAUAGCAAUUCUGCUUUUAAUCAGUGCUUCCAUUUUCAGUAAAAAUUAUUACAGUUCACUGCUGGUAAUCCUCCUGGCAUAUCAGAUAUCCGUGUAACUAGGCAAGCAAUCGUAUGGAGAAAACCAAACAUCCUUGCCUUCCRAGCAGGUAAUUAUUCAUCAUUGUGAAAGUGCUCCAGGAUAUUUUUAGUGGAGGACAAAACUCCAGUUUCCURACAGAAACACUGAACAAAUUUAUAGAAGAAUGAAACAAGAAAAAUGCCGCAGACAACUGGGUUAGCUGAUACUUUGUAGUAAUGCUAACACUGAAGUAGCAUCCUGCACAUUGCUGCAUGCAUAUGUGCAGAUAAAUGCACA
RNAcentral lists this long non-coding RNA (1885 nucleotides) under Dromaius novaehollandiae (emu). Its description in RNAcentral is "lncRNA (ENSDNVG00000017977.1)". Lineage: Eukaryota; Metazoa; Chordata; Aves; Casuariiformes; Dromaiidae. The record is from RNAcentral.